UUCAAUAUCUUUGGUUGUGACGUAAAAAUCUUAGGUUAGAACUCUGCCCUUUUAGAACAUGGAUUAAACAUAGUAGUGUUUAAUAUCACGAGGAUAAUCUUCAUUAACACUACUUUAACAAGAUUUAAAAGGUAGCCACAAUGUCGACUUUGGAAUAUUCGAAAGCACUCGUUGCACACGGAAGAUCUUCAUGGAAAAACGUCCACAACUGUAAAUUGUGCCCCCAUUUUACAACAUCAAUUUUGUCUAUGGUGAACCACGUGAGGCGACAUCGCUCCUCUCUGGAAAAAUUUACAUGCUCCGAAGCCAAAAUCGAAGCGUAUUAUUGUAAAGACUGCGAUUUUAAAACGGAUCUAACGAUUCUGUUCAAACAACACAUUAACAAACAUCACGGCCUUAAGAGUGAAUCUAGAGAAGUUUUGUCAAUCGAGGACUUCAGCAUCCAAAACUACGUUUGCGAAAAAUGCGCCUUCGAAACAAAUUCCUUGAUAAAUUGGCUUCAACAUACUUCAGAAUGCUCAGAAAGGAAAGAAAAUGUUCAAAGUCUGAGUUCUCUGAGCGAGAAUGUCACGUACGAAAAAAAUGGUGAAUGGCACAAGUGCGAAAAAUGUCCUUUCAAAACUAAAUUGAAAAUAUGUUUUAAAAACCACAUGAAAAACAUCCACGCGCGGGCAGAAGACGUUAAAUGGCACGAAUGCACGAAAUGUCCAUUCAGAUCUAAGUAUAAGGAAUCUUUAAAGAGUCACUUCAAUUUCAAACAUGCAGACGAAGAAAAAAUUAAAUGGCACGAAUGCGAAAAGUGCCCGUUCAAAACUAAACAUCACUCGACUUUAAAUUAUCACGUGAUUAAUCAACAUUUGAGUAAAGAAGAAGUUAAGUGGUUUGAAUGUACCAACUGUUCAUAUAAAAGUAAAAGAAAAAAUAAUUUAAAACUGCAUAUAACUGUUCGCCAUUCAGAUACCAAAUCACUUCAACAUUCCGAUUGUAAGCGGUACAAAUGUGGACGGAAUGGUUAAUGGCACAAGUGCGAAAAAUGUCCUUUCAAAACUGGAUCAAAAAAGAAUUUAAAAAGACACAUGAAAAACUUACACUCACGGGCAGAAGACGUCAAAUGGUACGAAUGCAAGGAGUGUCCAUUCAAAUCUAAGUAUAAAGAAUCUUUAAAGAACCACUUCAAUGCGAAACAUGUAGAGGGAGAAAAAAUUGUAUGGCACGAAUGCGAAAAGUGCCCGUUCAAAACCAAGCAUCGCUCGACUUUAACUUAUCACGUGAUUAAUCAACAUUUGAGUGAAGAAGAAGUUAAGUGGUACGAAUGUGGGAACUGUUCGUAUAAAACUAAAAGAAAAACUCAUUUAAAACUGCAUAUAGCUGUUCGCCAUUCAGAUAUCAAAUCAUUUCAGUCCCAAUAUUAAGACAAUGAAUGGUACGAAUGUGAAAAUUGUGCAUUUAAAACCAAAAAUAAAUAUACUUAAAAAAAAACACA
This is a long non-coding RNA of Zophobas morio, 1483 nucleotides long. RefSeq lists it as uncharacterized. The transcript has 2 exons. NCBI's taxonomy places the organism in Eukaryota, Metazoa, Arthropoda, Insecta, Coleoptera, Tenebrionidae. The record is from RefSeq and is a predicted model, not a curated record.